This 449-nucleotide ribosomal RNA is filed under the name uncultured bacterium. RNAcentral's name for it is "bacterial SSU rRNA". It matches the Rfam family "Bacterial small subunit ribosomal RNA", at positions 330 to 793 of the family's 1533-position model. The record is from RNAcentral.
UCCAGACUCCUACGGGAGGCAGCAGUGGGGGAUAUUGCACAAUGGGGGAAACCCUGAUGCAGCGACGCCGCGUGGGUGAAGAAGUAUUUCGGUAUGUAAAGCCCUAUCAGCAGGGAAGAAAGAAGACGGUACCUGACUAAGAAGCCCCGGCUAACUACGUGCCAGCAGCCGCGGUAAUACGUAGGGGGCGAGCGUUAUCCGGAUUCACUGGGUGUAAAGGGAGCGUAGACGGCCGUGCAAGCCAGGAGUGAAAGCCCGGGGCCCAACCCCGGGACUGCUCUUGGAACUGUGCGGCUGGAGUGCGGGAGGGGCAGGCGGAAUUCCCGGUGUAGCGGUGAAAUGCGUAGAUAUCAGGAGGAACACCGGCGGCGAAGGCGGCCUGCUGGACCGCGACUGACGUUGAGGCUCGAAAGCGUGGGGAGCGAACAGGAUUAGAUACCCCAGUACAG